UACGUAGGGUGCGAGCGUUAAUCGGAAUUACUGGGCGUAAAGCGUGCGCAGGCGGUUUUGUAAGCCAGAUGUGAAAUCCCCGGGCUUAACCUGGGAAUGGCAUUUGGGACUGCAAGGCUUGAGUGCGGCAGAGGAGACUGGAAUUCCUGGUGUAGCAGUGAAAUGCGUAGAUAUCAGGAGGAACACCGAUGGCGAAGGCAGGUCUCUGGGCUGACACUGACGCUCAUGCACGAGAGCGUGGGGAGCAAACAGG
This 253-nucleotide ribosomal RNA is filed under the name uncultured bacterium. Its description in RNAcentral is "partial 16S ribosomal RNA". It matches the Rfam family "Bacterial small subunit ribosomal RNA", at positions 524 to 776 of the family's 1533-position model. The record is from RNAcentral.